RNAcentral lists this long non-coding RNA (1619 nucleotides) under Homo sapiens (human). RNAcentral describes it as "HSALNT0229628". Lineage: Eukaryota; Metazoa; Chordata; Mammalia; Primates; Hominidae. The record is from RNAcentral.
CCUCUCCCUGCCUCCUUCAACAGGGUUUCCCCUUCAGGCCUCCGGGGUCCCCUCCCCAUACCUGAGCUCGCUGGCCUCCUCCCGCUACCCCCCAUUCCCUUCUGACUACCUGGCCCUGCAGCUGCCCGAGCCCAGUCCCCUGAGGCCCAAGCGGGAGAAACGGCCCCGCCUGCCCCGGAAACUCAAGGGGAGCGGGAGUCCCUGAAGGGCCAGGGGAGUGAGGAGAUGGAAGGAAGGGAGUCCAAGCAGAGGAAGGAUAGCUGUGAAGACAGAAGCAGGUUGGUUCUGUCAGGCCUGAGUUGGACUUGGCCAGCUUUGAAUCCCAGCUCUUCCAGUGCUCACCAUGCGACCUCAGCGUUGUCAUUUCACUCUUUAAGCCACAGCUCUCUUUCUCCAUUCAGUGGCGGCAUUGUGCGGAGAAUGUGAGUGAAGGGAUGAAAAUCGCUCGGCCCGUGCCUGGCCCCUAGUAAGCCACAGAGAAAUGUGAGCCGCUGCCAGUCAGGCUGAGAGGACGCCACUGAGGAAGUCCAGGCCAGGGUGGGACAUGCUGCGCACAGUGGGGAAGGAGAGGAGGUGGCCAGAGGAGGGGAUGGUCCUUUCCAGUCAUACACGCAUGUCUGCUUGUGUGUGUACAUGUGGGGGCCUGGUGCAGGGCGUGGGGGUGCUGUUCAGAGUUGGACCCCCCAUCAUCCAUCCUGCCAGCCUCCUAUACCCUGAGGCCUGACCCACCCUGGCCCCCACACCACCCCAGCAGCGGAGAUGAGGGUAAGUGAGGGCUCCUUAGGAAGCAGAGAGGAGGCCACAGGGCCAAAUGUGACACUCAGAAGGGCCACUGGAGACCACGCAUGGCGUUUCCUGCCAGCCCACUCAGCAUCUAGCCCAGGGCCAGACUGGACACUGCCCCGCAGGACCCAGCAGGCCUAAGCCUCAGGACCUCCAUGUCCACACCAGGUUCAGCCUCCUCUGCUGGCACGUGACUUCUCCCCGUUUCCCGCCCCCCAGUGUCCUGAGGCUGGGAGGGCAUUAACAGAAACCACCUGACACACAGCAGGUGCCCAGUUUGUGCCCACAGACAAAGCACGGGGACUGCAGAGGAGACCCACAGAGCUCUCUAGGGAGGGUUUGUGAGGACCUGGCAGCGGGGGGGAGCUGAAGGGUUGAGCAGGGCAGAGGCCACUUCCCACCCUCAGAGGACAAAGCAGGACUUCUGACAAAUAGAGCAGGAUGCCCAGGGGGAGGGGCUGCCUGUCGUCCCGCAGGCGGCACUCCCGCCCCGAGGCCCCGAGUGGCACGGUGACGCGCUCAGGUCUGUGUUUUAGAGCGCGCGCUCUGGCUGCCGUGCGGAGGAGCUGGAUCUGGGAGAGGCUGCGGGCAGGGAGUCCAGUUAGGAGGCUGGGACCGCAGCCCAGAUGUUCAGCGAUGCAGGUAGCGGGGACGAUGCCUUGGAUGGAGACGAUGACCUGGUGAUCGACAUCCCGGAGUGACCGUGACAUCACGCCAUGCCCACCACGGCCCCGCCCGGCGCCCUCCCCGUGCCAGCACACACGAGUCCAGCUUCCUCGGAGGUGUUUAUUGAUGCCCAGCUGCCAUGCUCCGGCCACUGACACAACCAGAAAAGG